AAUUUGCCGAUUAACAAACUGCAGUGUGCACCACUGUCGUUCUGACUGACCCCGAAGUUUGGGAGGGCCACACAGCCACAGUGCAGUGGGAGUGGGUCGGUGCACCUGGACUCCGCUGCCUUGGACCUCAGUAGGAACAGUCUCCAUGGUUCUCCACAGCCCAACACCCCGACCCCACAAGCCUGUGCUGCUCUCACAACGACUGAGAGCAGGACCCCCAAGAGGACCCUCUGACAAAGCGCCACAGUCCAGGAACCAGCAGACUCUACUUGGAUGCAAACGCACUGUAACUAGGCAC
Molecule: long non-coding RNA, 298 nt
Filed under: Ictidomys tridecemlineatus (thirteen-lined ground squirrel)
Lineage: Eukaryota; Metazoa; Chordata; Mammalia; Rodentia; Sciuridae
Description: lncRNA (ENSSTOG00000033960.1)
Source: RNAcentral